RNAcentral lists this ribosomal RNA (305 nucleotides) under uncultured bacterium. Its description in RNAcentral is "bacterial SSU rRNA". It matches the Rfam family "Bacterial small subunit ribosomal RNA", at positions 333 to 636 of the family's 1533-position model. The record is from RNAcentral.
GUUCGCCUACGGGACGCAGCAGUGAGGAAUAUUGGUCAAUGGCCGAGAGGCUGAACCAGCCAAGUCGCGUGAGGGAAGACGGUCCUACGGGUUGUAAACCUCUUUUGUCGGGGAGCAAAGCGAACCACGUGUGGUUCAUUGAGAGUACCCGGAGAAAAAGCAUCGGCUAACUCCGUGCCAGCAGCCGCGGUAAUACGGAGGAUGCGAGCGUUAUCCGGAUUUAUUGGGUUUAAAGGGUGCGCAGGCGGAGGUGAAAGCCAGCGGUCAAAUUGCGGGGCUCAACCACGUACUGCCGUUGAAACUGC